UUUAAUUAAGUUAAUUAACAAUUCUAAAAUUAGAGUUAAUGAUAAAAAAAACAAACAAUAAUUAAAAUCAAUUAAAUAAAUUAAAGGUAAAGGAGAAAUGAAUUUGGGCCUCCUUUUUGGGCCAAUUUUGCUGAAAAUUUUGGCCUUUAAAUCAAUCUCGUUUUUGUAUACACAGGCUGUAUAUUAGUGUAUAUCGAAUGUAUACAGCCCAGUUUUCUGCUUUCCGAGACCUGUACGUCAACUCUAAAGACUUGUUCUUCGAUUUCUCAAAGUUAGAUGACUCGAUAAAAGAAUUUUGGGCCUUUAUGACCCUCUCAAAAUGCGAAGGGAGGAAAGACGGAAGCCUAUGAGGCUCAUCCGAGGGAGUUCAUGCAAGAAAA
This 380-nucleotide long non-coding RNA is filed under the name Solanum tuberosum (potato). RNAcentral describes it as "long non-coding RNA (STUB_LNC000445)". The record is from RNAcentral. Lineage: Eukaryota; Viridiplantae; Streptophyta; Magnoliopsida; Solanales; Solanaceae.